Molecule: ribosomal RNA, 1054 nt
Filed under: Escherichia coli
Lineage: Bacteria; Pseudomonadati; Pseudomonadota; Gammaproteobacteria; Enterobacterales; Enterobacteriaceae
Description: partial 23S ribosomal RNA
Rfam family: Bacterial large subunit ribosomal RNA
Source: RNAcentral
CAUAGGUUAAUGAGGCGAACCGGGGGAACUGAAACAUCUAAGUACCCCGAGGAAAAGAAAUCAACCGAGAUUCCCCCAGUAGCGGCGAGCGAACGGGGAGCAGCCCAGAGCCUGAAUCAGUGUGUGUGUUAGUGGAAGCGUCUGGAAAGGCGCGCGAUACAGGGUGACAGCCCCGUACACAAAAAUGCACAUACUGUGAGCUCGAUGAGUAGGGCGGGACACGUGGUAUCCUGUCUGAAUAUGGGGGGACCAUCCUCCAAGGCUAAAUACUCCUGACUGACCGAUAGUGAACCAGUACCGUGAGGGAAAGGCGAAAAGAACCCCGGCGAGGGGAGUGAAAAAGAACCUGAAACCGUGUACGUACAAGCAGUGGGAGCCUCUUUAUGGGGUGACUGCGUACCUUUUGUAUAAUGGGUCAGCGACUUAUAUUCUGUAGCAAGGUUAACCGAAUAGGGGAGCCGAAGGGAAACCGAGUCUUAACUGGGCGUUAAGUUGCAGGGUAUAGACCCGAAACCCGGUGAUCUAGCCAUGGGCAGGUUGAAGGUUGGGUAACACUAACUGGAGGACCGAACCGACUAAUGUUGAAAAAUUAGCGGAUGACUUGUGGCUGGGGGUGAAAGGCCAAUCAAACCGGGAGAUAGCUGGUUCUCCCCGAAAGCUAUUUAGGUAGCGCCUCGUGAAUUCAUCUCCGGGGGUAGAGCACUGUUUCGGCAAGGGGGUCAUCCCGACUUACCAACCCGAUGCAAACUGCGAAUACCGGAGAAUGUUAUCACGGGAGACACACGGCGGGUGCUAACGUCCGUCGUGAAGAGGGAAACAACCCAGACCGCCAGCUAAGGUCCCAAAGUCAUGGUUAAGUGGGAAACGAUGUGGGAAGGCCCAGACAGCCAGGAUGUUGGCUUAGAAGCAGCCAUCAUUUAAAGAAAGCGUAAUAGCUCACUGGUCGAGUCGGCCUGCGCGGAAGAUGUAACGGGGCUAAACCAUGCACCGAAGCUGCGGCAGCGACACUAUGUGUUGUUGGGUAGGGGAGCGUUCUGUAAGCCUGUGAAGGUGU